AGUCAUAUUUGUUUAGUAGCCAAGGAUGACUUGCCUGCUCCAUUAUUUUAAAAAGGCAGGGGCGGGGUUGCAGUGCUCAUUGUGGGUUCGGCUGAACCCAAUAACUUUUGUUCAAACCAUGUGUUUGCAUUAAGAAAUCCAAUAAAUAUGUACAAAUUAUUAAUUUAGAACCCAGGAACUUAAAAGGAUUAUAAUCUCGAACCCAUAAGGUUCAAAUCCUAGAUCCUAGCUCCGCCUCUGUAAAAAGGUGUGUUUUGAUUACACCAUUUAGUAAUGGGUGGCCUUUUUGCUUUGGUUUCAGGCAGUCUCCUUGGCUAUCUUGACAUGCUCU
Molecule: microRNA precursor, 331 nt
Filed under: Nicotiana sylvestris (wood tobacco)
Lineage: Eukaryota; Viridiplantae; Streptophyta; Magnoliopsida; Solanales; Solanaceae
Source: RNAcentral